GGGGGCGUGGUCUAGCGGUUUAGGACGUCGGCCUGUCACGCCGAAGAUCGCGGGUUCAAAUCCCGUCGCUCCCG
Molecule: transfer RNA, 74 nt
Filed under: marine sediment metagenome
Rfam family: tRNA
About the family: Transfer RNA (tRNA) molecules are approximately 80 nucleotides in length.
Source: RNAcentral